AUACAUUUCUCGUCCUUUUGGCUAAGAUCAAGUGUAGUAUCUCUUUCUUAUUAAUUUAAUAUCUGAUGAUACGUGGGUCAUCCGUUUAUAUGAUAUUAAAUUAAUUAAUAUUUUAAGGGGGAGAGUCCAUCACAGUAACUUGCUGCUAGAACUCUCGAGCGUUAGCUUGGCGCUAGUGGCGGAUUCAUG
Molecule: small nuclear RNA, 189 nt
Organism: Rhododendron vialii
Lineage: Eukaryota; Viridiplantae; Streptophyta; Magnoliopsida; Ericales; Ericaceae
Product: U2 spliceosomal RNA
Exons: 1
Source: RefSeq, a predicted model, not a curated record